ACUGUAAACAAAACACCUCCAGACUGAAACAGACAUCUGCAGGAGCCUGCACUGCUAGUCAAGUACAAGAUGAAAUCUCUGCACUUGAGGGUUUCUGCUUUUCUGCCAGAAGACUUACAUCAUGUGAGUGUGCAGGACUGCACUUCAAUUCAUCAGAAGUUGUACAUGCACAUCUGAGAGGACUAUUUCUCAAAGAUUAAAUGAGGACAUGGGUUCUUGGCAGCAAUAUCUACUCAGUGCUGAGCAGAAAAGGACCAAAGCUUUCCUAGUGAAAGGACUCCUUUCUCCCUGUGACACCUGUGCACGUGCAAGCACAGCCCUGCCUUGCUGUGCCUCCCCAGUCUCCCCCAAGAG
Vidua chalybeata is the source of this 354-nucleotide long non-coding RNA. RefSeq lists it as uncharacterized. NCBI's taxonomy places the organism in Eukaryota, Metazoa, Chordata, Aves, Passeriformes, Viduidae. The transcript is spliced from 4 exons. The record is from RefSeq and is a predicted model, not a curated record.